AAUGAAGUUAUACGGGACAAGGCGAGAGUUACAUUUAUGACAUAUAUAAAGAGGAAGUAAUCAUUUUCUUGGGGAGCUUUUUGAUCUUUGAAGUCUUGGAGGAGUAUCUAUAGCUAACUUGAGAAGGAUUUAGAGAUUUUCACCAUAGAGUUUGCAUCUUUCUUCUUUGUUUAAUCUUUAACUAUGUUUAUUAUUGCAUUUCAUCUUGUAUUUUCUUUCUCCUGCAUGAGUAGCUAGCCCAUUAGCUGGGGUUGUUGACUCUUAUUGCUUUUGUGUGAUUGAAUACUAGUUUAUCUUGCUUAUUAUUACUUGGGUUGUGAUUAUCUACUUGUUAGAUUCUUAUUUGUGAAUUUGGUGGUUGCAAACACUAGAUCCCCCUACAUAUGCAUUUCUUGCUUGGAAGAGUAGAAAUUGUAUUGAGUUUUUAAUGAGUAGUAAGGAAUCAAGUAUAUUGAGGAAUCGAUUGUGCUUGAUUAAUGAAUUGAACAUUUUCCCUACUGGUAAAAGUAGGAAUUGGGAGAUUCCUACUUGGAUCUAUCAAUUGGGUCUUAAUAUUUUUUCUUGGGUUUGGAAGAACUUUUGGGGAUUAGCUUCGUAGAGUUGGAAAAUCCUGAUAAGUAAUUAUCAAUUGGAUCAUUUUCAUUGAUCCUAUGUAUUUGAGCAAGAUACAUGUGUUCACGAACUAGUUAUGUCAUAUUGAGGCUACAACCCUGGGGUUCCUCUCUUAAUUGAAAAACAAAACAUUGUUAUUGCACUCCAAAUGUUCGAUUAAAUUCUUGGCUUAGAAAAUAGUCUAGUUUUAGAAUUAACUACUCAAUCACCCUUUUAUUUGAAGAUAACUUAGGACUUUAGUGUAGGAUUGAACGUUAUUAGUAGGUAGCCAAGUGUGGUCAUCUGUUAGGUGGGAGAGGCAAGGGGCUUGUCUCAUAUCCUCUUCUCCUUAUUAGUAGUAGAAUUUAGCAACCGUGUAGUUUCUUAUUCUUCUAUGUAUUUCUAUUAUCUGUUGCUUCAUUUUGCUUUGUAUCUUGAUAUUUUGUUAUCAUUUUUUUCUUCUUGCAAGCCUUCUCUGAGUAACCUCCCUUCUGAGCCGAAGGUCUAUUGGAAACAACCCAUCUACCCCACAAAAGUUGCGUUAAGGUCUGUGUACAUUUUACCCUUCUUAGACCCCACUUAUGGAAUUACAUUGAGUAUGUUGUUGUUGUUUGCCUUGGAAGUUAAUCAAGGCUAAUUUUGUUUGAAGGGCUAUGCAUGUGAUUGCCUGAACCAUUGCUGCUUGACUUUUGUUCUUGUUUCUUCUAGACAUUGCUUUCCUCAGUGUGAAGUAGUUAUGCAAUUGUUUUUUUGACGUUCUGAGUGAAAUAUGAAAAAGCCUGAAAUUUUGAGUUGAAAGUUUCCAUUUUGUUCUUUUCACUAUCGGAACUAAUUUCUUUUUGUUUUGAGUUUGCCUUUUGGGGUUUUGAACCUGUACUUUGUUGACAGUUGAAUUCCCUUACCGAAUUGUUGCAAAGGCUACAAUUUUUUUUCAUAACAAGUAUGGAAGUUUAAAGAAACCACAUAAUAGGUCUAUGGCACCAAUCUUAAUUCAGUACGAUAUGAUAAAACAUCCUCUCCGCUAUCUGUCACUACUUUGAUGUCAUCAGCUUCUUCCUCCAUUCCCCCUUCAGGUAGAUUUCUCCCCCAACCAUAAUCAUCAUAAUUAAGUCCAAGGUUCUCCGCAAGCUCUAUAAUCUCUUGAUUAUCGUUGACAAAGUGGCUUGCUUUAUUCCGACAACAAUAUGGAUGUUGGAUAAUGAUCUAAUGUUUCUGGCAAAGGCGUCUCUGUCUUUCUGUUUAGUGUGUCGAAAGGAAAUCGUUUUCUGUUAAAGAAACAAAGAGAUUAUUUUUACUACUAGAAAAAUAUUAGUGGUAGCAACAGUUUACUGUUUCCUUGUGCUCAUGUGAAGUUGAUUGUUUCAAUGUUCUUUUUGGGCUGUCUGUUGUUCUUUAGAGUGUCAUUUGUAGCUAUCCUUUAAAAGGUUUCAAACAAAAUUUUCGCUGGUGUCUAGUGUCUACAAAUUUAUUGUCUAAGAAGUGAACUUUCUCCUAAGAUCAAAAGAGGUGAAUAAAACGGGCCCCACUUGUGGGAUUACACUGGGUAUGUUGUUGUUGUUCUAGCAGCAAUAUAUGUAGCGCUAACCUCAAACUUCUGUCAACCUCAAACUUUGAUAAUUUUCAGCGUAUAAGACAUGGUGCUGGCAUUGUGAACUCUUACGAAGCUGUACUUCUUGUUUUUCGUUUUUUUGUCUCGCUUGUCUCAUUAAAAGAGGAGAUAUCUCCCCUUUUCUUCUACCUGUCUCUGGUGGAUCCUUUUAUUUUCUUUUUGGAAAUGCCCUGAUUGAAAAUCCAAUGAACUGAUGGUACCUCCGACACUGUGAUCCAUAUGCAUCCCUACGUUCCUUAACAAUUUUUUCCGUGGGAUUUAAUAGAUCAGGUAACAUACAUACAGUAGUCUUUGAUUCCUCAAGUUGACAUGGAUAAGUUUUCUUUUUUUUGAGACAAACAUGGAUAAGUUUUCUUAUGUGGACAAAUUUCAGUCUCCUAGGUUCCUAGUUCCUACACUUGUGAUCAUUAGUGUAUUUCAGUGUUUAAUGCAAAACUACAUCUCAUUUCAAGGCAGUUUUUUUUUUGCUAGUGUUGGUGGUACUGUGUUAUAUCUUUUAGCUCUUCUGAUUUAGUCUCAUUUCCCUAUAAUCCUAUCUUACAUUUGUAAAGAGGUAGUUUAGCCACAAACUUUUGUUUAAGUCUAAUGGCCUGUAUUCACAGCACUUUACAUCAUUUAGGAUGACUAAAGGAAUUUCCUUCAUGAUUAUUGUCCACUUCCCUUCAUAUUGUCUUGACAGAGCAAUAUAAGCAUUGAAGGGAAGUCAAAUGAACACCAGCCAUUUAAGGUUUCCAUCUUUUCAGUCAAGUAGCAUACUAAAUAUCAAGUAGUCUAUUUCUUACAUAAUCCAAGAAUUGUAUGAAUGAUUUUCCUUCAAUAAUUUCAUAUGCCAAUACUUCUGCAUAGUUAUUUGGUGAUAAACCACUUGUUUAACUUCUACUUUCUACUUUCUACUUGCUUUGAUAGAUAGACACCUAUGAUAUAUGUAAACAAUAAUUUGCCACUAAUUAUAGUUACCGUUGAUCUAUCAUGUUUAAGUGCCCUCUCAAAAAUCAUAAAGUCUGGAUUUUCAACUAUUAAUCUCACUCAUUUCUUCACAACAGGGCCAGAUCUAUUCCCUUUUUCACUCGGUUUUUCUUUUUCUUAUGUACAUUAACUUUGUGACAUCAAUAAUCUCUUUGCUGCCAACACUCAUGUUUAUGCUGGUUUAAAUGUGUGGAAUGCCCCAAAAAAAAUGUAUACUGUCUGUUUAGUUGUGUUAGGAGUCCAGUCCUCCCCACCCCUCCUACCUCUCCUUUUUCUUUAUUUACUUUUAAAGAUCUCAGAAGGGGAGUGCCUUAUAUAUGUAACUUACUUCGCCGUCCAAUUUUCUUCUCCUACUUUGUGAUUGCUAGGUUCUCAUAACUAUGAAUUUCUCAAUAGACUGAGCUGCCUGCAUCCAACAUUUGCACCAGAAGAAAAAGCUGAAAAUUUCUUAUAUAUCCUGUGUUUGAAAUUUCUGUGACAUGAUUCUCAUUUCAGGAAAAAAUGAUACCUGACUCAGUUAAGCCUUUUCAGACAUUGAGCUCACAUUGUGUUCUCUGUUGAUAUUAAUACUACUAUUUUGUAAAGGUGCUGACUUGGACCUCUUUGUGUGUAAAAUCUAGUCGAACCAUCCAUACCAGGAACACACAUCAAAACACCUUCCUGCUCUAAAAUUGCUUCAUUAGCCUCUCCAUUCAAUACUCUGUCUCAACUAAUGCACAACUCCCAUCUUCAAAUUGUCAAACCUUAUUCCACUGUACUGAAAAUGACUUGAGUUUCAACACACGCUAGAGUCCUUCCAAACUCCAAAAUAACGAGUCUCACAGGGCGACUAGCUCCAAAUUUGGAAUUCAUACCAGUACUUGCUCCUCUAUAUGUAAUCCAUAGUCAAACCACCAUGCUGACGGCCUCACAACUCAAUAUAUCAGCUACCACCAUACAUCCGAUGAGCCAGUCUGAUAGAACAACCUGCCCUAUAGUAGAAAAACAAACUCUCUCAGUUUUCCUAGCAGAGGCAUAAUUGGUAAUAGAAGACAAUAAGGAAGCAACGGAACAAAAACUAAGCAAGAACAAAACAAAGGAUCAUACUAUACCAUUAAACAUAAUUGCCACACGAUGCUGCAAUAUAGUAUAAACCCAUCCAGUUCUCCAAAAUAAAUCAGUGGAUGCAUUGACAAGUAUAGUCAAACUAGAUCAAAGAUCACUAUAAAGCUGCAACAAGAGAACUAUUAGCUGCUAUAUUUAUUUGGCUGAAACAAUAACAGCAUGGCCUGGAAAAAGAUCAUCGUCUACUUAUUAGUAGUAGAAUUUAGUAAUUACGUAGUUUUGUUAUUCUUCUAUGUGUUCCUACAAUCUGUUGCUUCAUUUUGCUUUGCAUUUUGAUACUUCAUUGUCAUUUUUUUCUUCUUGCAACCCUUCUCUGAAUAACUUUCCUUUUGAGCCUCAGGUCUGUUGGAAACAACCUCUCUACGACUCUAUCCCACAAAGGUAACGGUAAGGUCUGCGUACAUCUUACCCUUCCCAGACCCCACUUCUAGGAUUAUAUUGAGUAUGUUGUUGUUGUUGUUUUCUUUGGAAGUUUUUUUGUUUAAGGUAACUUUGUAUUAAAGCCAGUACUUAGGUAGUACUGAAAAAACCAAUUUACAAAUGGAAUAGAUACAAAAUAUACCAGAUAUGAAACCAAUCCUAAAUGGUGCCUAGGACAUCUAGGAUUUAUUCGUGACACUAGAAUACAGUUUAAUGCACCAAAGGCAAAAAAGCAAAAUGCAUUUUAGCUUAAUAUCCUGUACUAAAAUCCUCCUAUCCUUGAAGAUAUCUGUCAUUUCUUUCCUUCCAAAUAGUCCACCAAAUACUUGAUGGGAUGAUCCUCUAUCUCUCUCUGUUUCCUGCACCAGCUCCUGCUUCCUCCCAGUUAAAAAGAGUGUCAGCAAUCUUGCUUGGCAUUGUUCAGUCUAUGCCUUUGAGAUUGAUGAAAAUCUUUCAUAGUUGAUCUGUAAUACUACAGUCUAGGAACAAAGGGUUUACUGUCUCAGCUUCCUUUUUGGAAAGGAAGCAUCUAGAGCAGAGAGCAAUAUUCCUUUUGAUCAAUUUUCAUGUGUCAAAACUGCUUCUUUAGCUGGAAGCCAGGUGAAACAAGAUACUUUGUAAGGUAUCUUAGUCUUCCAAAUAUGCUUCCAAGGCCAGUUAGUAAUAUGUGGCCUACUUGGUUCAAAAUCCUAUACCCUGAGUUGACCUUAUAUGCUUCCACUUACAUGUCCACUCCACCAUAGGUAAUUUGCACCUUCUUGUAACCCUUGAAAAUUCUCCAACUGGUUAAACAGUUCCACAAGUUUAGGUAUCUCCCAAUCAUUCAACAUUCUUCUGAAUCUAAGGUCCCACCCUUGUUGUGUCCACAUCUCGGCAAUUAAUUUAUGUUGGUCUAAGGCUAUAACAAAUAAAUCUUGGAACAUGUCUUUAAAGCUCCUUGUCUCGAUCCAUUUGUCUUUUCAAAACCUAGUCUUGUUCCCAUUAACCACUCUGAUGUGGGAGUGGUUUUUGAGAAAAGGCAGUGGCUUCUGAUAGUCCUCCAAAGAUUGAUUCCAUUUGGAGUAUUGACCUCCUUUGAGACCCAACUGUCCUCUUCCCCGUACUUGCUCUUUAUGACUCUGCUCCAUAGUGUUUGAGGUGCUUGUGAAUAUCUCCAUAGCCAUUUAAGCUUCAAAGCUUUGCUAUGAUGCUUCAAAUUCUUGAUGCCAAGUCCCCCUAGUCUCUUGUUUCCGAUGAUUUCCUUCUACUUGACUAGGUGAAAAGCUUUUUUCCUUAUUCCCUUGCCAAAGGAAAGAUCUCUUGAUCUUGUCCAGCCUUUGAAUGACUUCGGGAGGGAUUGGGAAUAGGGAAAGCAUAUAAGUAGGCAACGCAUCCAAGACAACAUUAAUCAGAGUGAGUCUACCUCCAAGGGACAAAUACUGAGAUUUCCACCUUGUCAAUUUCUUCUCACACUUCUCCAAUACUGAGUCCCAAAUUCCCUUGGAUUUAGAUUGUGCUCCCAAAGGCAUACCUAAGUAUACUGUUGGUAGGUUCACCACCUAGGAUUAUAGCCAGCAGCUCCAUAUUGGGCACCUGAUUGAUGGGAUAAAUGUGGCUCUUCCUCCGGUUGAUGUGAAGUCCUGAGAUGGCCUCAAACAAAUCUAGAUUUACUCUCAAGUACUUCAUCUGUUCCUCUACUUCCCCACAAAAUAUUAUAGUGUCAUCAGCGUAGCUGAGUGAUUUCCAUUCUUUGAUUAUUUUUUCUGCCCACUUCAAAACCUUUGAUCCAUCCAUUAGUAUUGACCACCUUUACCAUGAUGUUAAGACCUUCCAUGGCUAAAAUGAACCAGAAGGGACAUGGGGUCCCCUUGUCUGAUCCCUAGCUGAGCAUUGAAAAAACCUUCAGGGCCACCAUUGACAAGAAUGGAGAACUUCACUGUUGAGAUACAAAACUUCACCCAGUUGACCCAUUUAGCACCAAAACCCAUUUGCCUAAGAACUUGCAAGAUAAAUUCCCAAUUGACAUGAUCAUAGACUUUCUCAAUGUCAAGUUUACAUAGAAUGUCAGGUUUCUUCUGAGAAAUUCUUGAAUCAACUGCCUCAUUAGCUAUCAACACAGCAUCCAUAAUAUGUCUGCCUCCUAUAAAGGCCAUCUGUUGUGAAUCUACCAAUGUAUCCACCACCCUCUUCAACCUUUCUGUCAGGACUUUGGAGACCAAUUUGUAGAAACUCCCUACUAGACUAAUUGGUCUGAAAUCUUUCAACUCUUUUGCGCCUUUCUUCUUGGGUAUCAUGGCUAUAUAGGUAGCAUUGAAACUUUCUUCAAACAUCUCUUUAGAAUGGAAGUUGUGGAAAGCUUGCAUGAUAUCAUGCUUCAGAACCUCCCAACACUUGAUGUAAAAUCCCGUAGGAUAACCGUCUGGGCCUGGGACUUUGUCUGCUGCACACAUCUUAAGACAGUUAUAAACUUCUUGUUCUUCAAAUUCUCCCUACAAAACUUCUUUUUCAGCUUCUUUAAUUCUAGGACAGUUGCUGAUGUUUACAGUAGGCCUCCAUUCUACCUCCUCUAUAUAAAACUUACUAUAGAAUUUGACAAUCUCUUCUUUUAUUCUUAUUGGUUCCACAAUAGUCUCCCCUUGCACCUCUAGUUUGUCAAUAUGGUUGUAUCUCUUAUGGGCAUUUGCUGAUUGAUGAAAAAACUUGGUGUUUUUAUCGCCCUCCUUGAGCCAUAGUGCCCUUGAUUUCUGUCUCCAUACACUCCUAAUUUUUAGGACUUCUUCCAAUUCCAAAUAUAACUCACUUUUUUAGCAACCUCCUCUUCUGUCAGGAUCCUUGAGUCCAGAAUUGAGUCAAGAUCUGCCAUUUGAUUAAGCAAUCUUGACUUUUGAAGUUUCAGAUUCCCUUGAUCACACCUACUCCUUUCCUUGAGCUUUCCUUUGAGGGCUUUAAGUUUGGAGGCUAAGAUGUAACCAGGUCUCCCCGAGAACUCAAAAGAACUCCACCAGUCACUAACUUUGUCCACAAAACCUUCUUUUGUCAACCACCAAUUCUGGAAGUUGAAAUAAGAUUUUGGGACCUCCCAGCUACCACAUUGAAGUGCAAUAGGCACAUGAUCAGAAACCAGUCUUUGCAAAGGCACUUGUUUUAUGUUACUGAAACUUCCAUCCCAUUCAGAAAAGAAAAGAAAUCUGUCUAUCCUUGAAGCAGCCUCUUGAUUAUCUCCCUUAAACCAUGUGAAUGAGCCAUUUUCCCACUGUGAGUAGACCAAUUCCAUAUUCAAGGCUCAUUUUGUUAAAAGGGCUAUACAUGUGAUUGCCUGAACCGUUGCUGCUCGACUGUUGUUCUUGUUUCUUCUAGACUUGGCUCUCUUCAGUCUGAAAUAAUUGUGCAACCGUUCUCUCGAUUUUCUGAGUGAAGUAUGGAAAAGCCUAAGUUUUUGAGUUGAAGUUUCCAUUUUGUUCUUUUCACAAUCUGGAUAGUUUCUGUUGUUUUGAGUUUGCCUUUUGGCUUUUAUUUUGGGUUUGAACUUGUGCUUUGGUGGCAGUUGAGUUCCCUUACGAAUUGUUAUAGAGAACUGAAAAUUUCAAAGUGCAAAUAUAUCAGUUGUAAGAUAGUUAUAAUUAGAUUUUUUUCCAGUAGUUAAUGACAAUCUUUGGUUGAAGAGAAGCAUAUCCUUGUUUGGUUAAGUCUAUAAUAUUAAGUGUAGUAUAAAGAGAAUGUGCUAGCUUAUCAAAAAUCUAUCAAAGUUAAAUGAAUUAAAUAGUUGGUUUUAGUAGAAUUGGUAGCUGUUUUGAUUUUCUGAAAAUGUUCAUAGAGCAUAGGAUGAUAAUUUUGAAUAUUAAGUGUAGUAUAAAGAGAAUGUGUUAACUUAUCAAAAAUCUAUCAAAGUCAAAUGAAUUAAAUAGUUGGUUUUAGUAGAAUUGGUAGCUGUUUUGAUUUUCUGAAAAUGUUCAUAGAGCAUAGGGUGAUAAUUUUGCAAAGGCUACAAUUUUUUUUCAUAACAAGUAUGGAAGUCUAAAGAAAAGACAUAAUAGCUCUAUGGAACCAAUCUUAUUUCUAGUACAAUAUGCUAAUCAUCCUCUCCGCUAUCUAGCACUACUUUGAUGUCGUCACUUCUUCCUCCUUUUCCCCCUUCAGGUGGAUUUCUUACCCAAACAUUGUCAUCAUAAUUAAGUCCAAGGUUCUCCGAAAGCUCUCUAAUCUCUUGAUUAUCGUUGACAAAGUUGCUUGCUUUAUUCCGACAACAAUAUGGAUGUUGGAUAAUGAUCUAAUGUUUCUGGCAAAGGCGUCUCUAUCUUUCUGUUUAGUGUGUCGAAAGGAGAAUCCUUAUCUAUUAAAGAAACAAAGAGAUUAUUUCUACCACUAGCAAAAUACUAGCGGUAGCAACAGUUAACUGUUUCCUUGUGCUCAUGUGAAGUUGGUUGUGUCAAUGUUCUUAUUGGGCUACCCAUUGUUUUUUAGAGUGUCAUCUUUGAAGUUAUCCUUUGAAAAGUUUCAAACAAAAUUUUCGCUAGUGUCUACAUAUUUAGUGACUAAGAAGUGAACUUUCUCCUAAGAUUAAAAGAGGUGAAUAAGUCAGAGUUGUACAUCGCUUUCAAGCAGCAACAUAUGUAGCGCUAACAUACUGUUUUAGAUACAAAGAAGAAUGUACACUUGUGCAGAAUAAGAGAUUGUGUUACACUUCUGCCAACCUCAAAUUUUAAUAGUCUGAAGCUUUUAAGACAUGGUACUAGCAUUAUGAACUCUUACGAAGCUGUACUUCUUGUUUUUCAUUUUUUUUGUCUUGCUGUCUCAAUAAAAGAGGAAAUCUCCCCUCCCCCGCCUCUUGGUGAAUCCUUUAUUUUGUUUUCAGAAUGCCUUGAUUGAAAAUCCAAUGGACUAGUGAUACCUGUGUUCCUUAACAAUUUUAAUUUGAUGGAUUUAAUAGAUCAGUUGGAAUGCAUACACAACAGUCUUUGAUUCCUCAAGUUUUACAUGGAUAAGUUUUCUUAUGUGGACAAAUUUCAGUAUCCUAGGUUUCUUGUUCCUACACUUGUGAUCAUUAGUGUAUUUCAGUGUUAAACGCAAAACUACAUCUCACUUCAAGGGAAAUUUUCUCUGCUUGUGUUGGCGGUACUUUGUUAUAUCUUUUAGCUUCUCUGAUUCCGUCCUAGAUUUUCCUGGCCACUGUAGCAUAUGCAUUGCCCUAUAUUCCUAUCUUACACUUGAAAAGAGGUAGUUUAGACACUAACUUUUGUUAAAGUCUAAAAAAGCCUGUAUUCACUGCACUUUAUGUCAUUUAGGAUGAUUAGAGGAAUUUCCUUCUGGCCAUGAUUACUGUCCACUCUCUCCAUGUUGUCUUGACAAGCGAUAAGAGCAUCUAAGGGAAGCUAAAUGAGCACCAACCGUUUAAGGGUUCAAUCUUUUCAGUCAAGUAGCAUACUAAAUAUCAAGCAGUCUAAUCAUAUAUAUAUAUAUAAAAGAAAACCUUAGGCCCGCCUACGUGGCGCCACCACAAACCAGAAUUCUCUUUUAAUUUAUUUAUUUACAAAACUAGCCUCUCCCUUUCAUGAAAAGUUGUGAAAUUUAUGAAAAAUUGUGACUUUUAUGAAAAAUUGCGACUUUAAUGAAGAGUUGCGACUUUUAUGAAAAAUUAUGAUUUUUAUGAAAGGUAGUGACCUUUCCGAAAGGUUGCAACUUUUCCAAAUAGUUGUAACCUUUCUGAUAAGGCACAAUAAACAUUUNNNNNNNNNNNNNNNNNNNNNNNNNNNNNNNNNNNNNNNNNNNNNNNNNNNNNNNNNNNNNNNNNNNNNNNNNNNNNNNNNNNNNNNNNNNNNNNNNNNNNNNNNNNNNNNNNNNNNNNNNNNNNNNNNNNNNNNNNNNNNNNNNNNNNNNNNNNNNNNNNNNNNNNNNNNNNNNNNNNNNNNNNNNNNNNNNNNNNNNUCUUCUUCUUCUUCUUCACAAUUAAAUAUUUGUGUACUUUGUUUUUGUUGAGUGGCUCACUGACACCAUUGCUUAUGUUACAGAUCCUGGUAUGUAUUUUUACAGUCAUUAAUUUAUGCUUAUGUUAUUAAGGAUAAAUGAUAAGAUGUAAUAAUUUUCAUUUUCCUUUACAUUAUUAAUGUUUGUUACUACGUAAUCUUGUAUGUAAGAUAAUAUAGUGUUUUAGUUUUAAUGAUUGAUAGGUUUUAAGUAUUAUUUUAUAAAUUCCAUGAUGUUAAAUUCCUUCGCGAAGCGCGGGUAACUUUACUAGUUCUUAGAUAAUCCAAGAAUCGUAUAAAUGUUCCUGCAAUAAUUUGUAUAUGCCAAUUACUUCUUCAUAAUUAUUUGGUGAUAAACCACAUGUUUGACUUCUACUUUCUACUUGCUUUGAUAGAUAUACACCUAUGUUAAAGAUGUAAACAACAAUUUGCCACUAAUUAUAGUUAACGUUGAUUUAUCAUAUUUCAGUGUUAUCAUAAAGACAGGAUUUUCAGCUAUUAAUCUCACAUAUUUCUUCACCGCAGGGCCAGGUGAGGUAUAUUGAAGUUUUCAAUCUAUUCCCUUUUUCACUCUGUUUUUCUUUUUCUUAUAUACAUUAACUUUUGUGACAUCAAUAAUCUCAUUUCUUCCAAUACUCAUGUUUAUGUUGGUUUAAGUGUGUGGAAUGCUUCCAAAAAAAGUGUUUACUGUUUGCUUAGUUGUGUUAAGAGUCCAUUCCUACCAACCCCUCCCUACCUCUCUUUUUUCUUUAUUUACUUUGAAAGAUAUCAUAAGGGGAGUGCCUUACAUAUGUAACUUACUUCGCGAUCCAAUUUGCUUCUCCUAUUUUGUGGUUGCAAAGUCCUCAUAACUAGUAAUUUCUCUUAAGAUUGAGCUGACUGUAUCCAACAUUUGCACCAGAAACAAAAGCUGAAAAUUUCUUAUAUAUCCUGUGUUUGAAAUUUCUGUGACAUGAUUCUCAUUUCAGUAAAAAUGAUAUCUGUAUCAUUUAAGCCUUUUCAGAUAUUGAACUCACAUUGUGUUACUAUUUUGUAAAGGUGCUGACUUGGGCAUCUUUGUGUGUACACAGUUGUCAUUGACAUUAUAAUGAUUAGUUGCACCAGUUUAUGAAUGGAACUUUAUACCAGUUAAAACAAUGCAUGAAAUCUGAACAAAAAUUUUAACAAUACCGGAACACAUUGGGAAAAGAUAAAACUUCAUUUCGUGUACAAGUGGCGAGCAAAAUUUAUAUGCAUACAUUCUUUUUUUCUUCAAAUAAAAUUGUGCUUCCAACCAAUAUGUACAUUUAAAUGUAAAGGAAAACCUUGUAAACUCUCCAUAUUUAGUUAGUGCUAAAAUAAUGUUUUAGAUACAAAGAAGAUCAAUGCCCACUUGUGAAGAAAAAGAGAUUGUGUCACACUUCUGCUAACCUCAAACGUUGAUAAUUUUAAGCUUUUAAGGGAUGGUGCUAAGUUAUGAACUCUUACAAAGCUGUACUUCUUGUAUUUUCCCUGCCUCUUGGUGGAUGUUUUCGGAAAUGCCCUGAUUGAAAAUUCAAUGGACAAAUGGUACUUCCAACACUGUGAUCCAUAUGCAUCCCUAUGUUUCUUUACAAUUUUGAUCCAUUGGAUUUUAUAAAUCAGGUGGCAAUGUGGCAUACAUACAGCAGUCUUUGAUUCCUCAAGUUUACAUGGAUAAGUUUUCUUCUGUGGACAAAUUUCAGUCUCCUAAGUUCCUACAUUUGUGAUCAUUAGUGCAUUUCUGAGUUUAAUGCAAACUACAUCUAACUUCAAGGCAAUCUUUUCUUGCUAGUGUUGGUGGUGCUGUGUUAUAUCUUUUAGCUUCUCUGAUUCAGUCCUAGAUUUAGCCUCAUUUAUUAUACUUCAUUUUUUCUCCUCUUUUUUCUCCACAUUGCGCAAGUAUCAACAUUUUGACAACUAUAUAUUAUGAUUCUAUAGACUACUAUAUUUUGACGACUCCUAUCGCUUCUCCAGCUAAAAAAGUCAGUAGGAUGAGAGGGGAGGCACAUUGUGUACAUUCACUAUCUAAUAUCCACUGUACAUCCCUUUCUCUGACCUGUUACUUUGUUUCACUCACUUUCACUCGAGAAGUCAUGACCAGUAUUUUCUGAGGGCAAAGGCAAGUAUGAGGUGUAUUACUCAAGGAGACCACCACCUUUUCAUUUCCUCUUUUUUUUUGGUAACUAAGUUUCCUUUAAUCACCAAAGUAGUCUGUACAAGUUCCAUUGUCCAGCUUAAUACCCAACUGACUAUCUCAAAGGAAAAACAAAACUACAUCACUACCUACCAAUACUAGGAUUCAAGUUUCUACAAAAGGAAGGGAUGAGCUAAGGCUAUCUCCCUAAUCAACUUAGUAGUCUCCUUCAGCUUCUUCUAAAAAAUGUGCAUGUUCCUCUCUAUCCAGAUGGACUGUACAAAUUCAGUAUAUAUAGGUUUGAAGAUCUGAGCUGCCUGUGACUUCCCUUUGGCCUGUUUACUGAUCCAAUGUACAUGUUGUUCCUAGUUGGUGAAUCUAUGCAUAAAUCCUCUCAUCCAUAUGACUAAACCAUCCCAGACCAUAUUAGUAGUUUGACAGUGCAAGAGCAUGUGAUCUCUGGUUCCCUCGUGAGUGUGGCAAUAGACACAUUUUCUAUCCAUAGUCACUCCCCAUGCUAGCAAUUUGUCCACAGUCAAAAGCCUCCCAUGUAAGGUUAGCCGUAUGGUGAACUGUGUCUUGGGUCUUGCAUCAUUACCAAAUCUUAGAGGCUUCUAUAUUACCCUCUCUUGGUCACCUAUCAACUGCAAGUAUAGUUGCUUUAUCAGGCUUCCAUUUCUGUAGGAACUAGGCCAUCUGUGCAGGUUCUACCUACUUUCAAAGAGCUUCCUCACCAUCCAACUUGCCUGUUGUGGCUCUUGUGCUUGCACAAACAACUGACCUUUAAUGUAAUAUGUGUGAAUCCAUUUGAUCCACAAUUUAUCAGCCUUGUGUUCUCUAUCCCAACAUACUUUGAAGAUGGCUGCUUUGUUCCACAGUUUCAAAUUCAUCAACCCCAGGCCUCCUAUAGACUUGGGAGUACAAACUUUAUCCCAAGCUAUCAAUGCUUUCUUGGUUACAGUAUUAGUACCUGACCAGAGAUAGCUUCUACAGAAAGCUUCAAUUGUUUGAAUUACUUUAGAGGGUAAUACAAACAUCUGUGCCCAGUAAGCUUGUAUGCCGAAUAAGUAAUCCUAGCCACCAUUUUGUUAAUCAGAGGUUGCCAUUGCAUCAAUGAGAUCUUUUUGCUAGACAAAGGAAUUCCAAAGUAUUUAAAGGGCAACUCUCCCUUUGUUUAUCCCAGGUGUGGUAAGAUAAGAGCCUGAAUUUUCAGAGGGACACCACCAAAAUAAAUGACACUCUUUGCACUAUUUGCUUGUAGUCUUGAAGUUUCUGAGAAAUCUUGAAAGCAUAUGUGUAGUUGCUUGACAGACUCCAAAUCUCCUCUUGAGGAUAGUAACAGGUCAUCUGCAAAUGACAAAUGGGUGAUUCCCAGUUUGGACCAUUUAGGAUGGAACUUAAAUAAUUUCUGCUCCUUUACUUCAUUGAACCUUCUACUCAGGUAUUUCAUAGCCAAAGCAAAAAGAAAAGGAGACAUAGGAUCCCCUUGUCUUAUUAGUUCAUUUGUUGCAUUGAAAGGCACUGAAGGGCAGGCUCCCCAUUAUCAUGAUGUAAUAGUUAACCAUCUUCACACAUUCCAUUACCCAUCCAAUGAAUCUCCAAGUAGCACCAAUCCACAGAGUCAUAGCCUUUUGUAAGUCAAUUUCAUCAUCCUUCUUUGUUUACAUUAUCUAAUACUAUGUCUAUAUAGUAGCUCACUCUUGCUGGAUUGUGUCCCUUUGUCUCGGCCAUUGUAGCACGUGCAUUGCCCUUAAUUCCUAUCUUACAUUUGAAAAGAGGUAGUUUAGACACAAACUUUUGUUAAAGUCUCAUGGCCUGUAUGGCUGUAUUUACUUCACUUAACGUCAUUUAGGAUGACUAAAGGAAUUUCCUUCUGGCCAUGAUUGCUGUCCACUUCUCUGCAUAUUGUCUUGAAAGAGCUAUACGAGCAUCGAAGGGAAGCCAAAUGAACACCAGCCAUUUAAGACUUCAGUCUUUUCAGUCAAGUAGCUUACUAAAUAUCAAAUAGUCUAAUUCUUAGACAAUCCAAGAAUUGAUUUUCCUGCAGUAAUUUCAUAUUCCAAUUACUUCUGCAUAGUUAUUUGGUGAUAAACCACCUGUUUGACUACUUUCUUCUUGCUUUGAUAGAUACACACCUAUGUUAAAUAUGUAAACAACGAUUUGCCACUUAUUAUAGUUGACGUUGAUCUAUCAUGUUUCAAUGUCGCCCUCUCCAAAAUCAUUAAGACUGGAUUUUCAGCAAUUAAUCUCACUUAUAUAUAGUGCUUACGUAUGUAACUUACUUUGUCGUCCAAUUUGCUUCUCCUUUUUUAAGUUUGCAAAGUCCUCAUAACUAUUAGUUUGUCUUAAGACUAAGCUGCAUGUAUCCAACAUUUGUUUCUCUUAUAUGUCCUGUGUUUGAAACUUCUGUCACAUGAUUCAGCUGACUUCUGGUGCUGACUUGGGCAUCUUUGUGUGAACAGAUGAUGAAAUUUGAUGGUCUCAGGGAACUUGGUACUGAGGCUGCUGUUGAGCUGAUCCUACACCAAGACUAGGCUUCAUAACAUGUUGACGAAUUAAGGCCCCUGAACUGAGGGUUCGGUUAGUAAAAGGGACGACUUUGUCUCCCUGGAAUAUCGUGCAAAAAAGCUCAAUCUGGGAUUAUUUUAGCCCACCCUCUAUAUGGGUCUAACUAUAUAAUAGUACCUAUUAUCAUAAGCAAGAUAAAAUAAUUCUCAUGGAAUAUCUCAGGAUCAUUAUCCUUAUCCUACCCCUGAAUUUUUUUCUGAAACUAAUCUGUUGUUGUACAACAGGCUGCUGGUAAGUGGUAAGUAUACACAAAUUUUAAUCUGUAUUUACUCAUUUAGUUGGAAGGCAAUAUACAUAUUAUAUACUGUUGCCUCAUCAUAUAAGGCCUAAUUUCUGCAAAGGAAUUUGCAUCUCUAUCUGGGAGAUUGUACAAAAAAACUACAUAUAUAGUACUCCCUCCGUCCCAUUUUAUAUGUCACAUUUUUAUUUUGCACUUGCAUUAAGAAAUGAUGUAACUUUAC
This 15792-nucleotide long non-coding RNA is filed under the name Solanum tuberosum (potato). Its description in RNAcentral is "long non-coding RNA (STUB_LNC002934)". Lineage: Eukaryota; Viridiplantae; Streptophyta; Magnoliopsida; Solanales; Solanaceae. The record is from RNAcentral.